CGGGCCGCGCGGCAGCCGGGACCUGCGCGCGCCGCCGCCUCGGGGCCGCCGCCAUCGCUCUCGACCCUCUGGGGCCUCACCUGCCCUCGGCCCUCGCCGCCAUUGCCCUCACCACCCUCGUCCCACUGGGGCCUCGCCGCCAUUGCCCUUGCCGCCCUCGCUGCCAUCACCCUCGCCACCCUCAGCCCUCACCGCCAUCGCCCUCGUCCCUCGCCGCCAUUGCCCUCGCUGCCCUCGUCCCUCCAGGCCCUCGCCACCAUCACCCUUGCCGCCAUCAUCUCUCCAGGGCCUCGCCACCCUCAUCCCCCGCCGCCAUUGCCCUCACCCCUGUCAUAUUUCCGGGGCCUCGCCGCCAUCGCCCUCACCGCCCUCGUCCCUCUGGGGCCUCGCCGCCCUUGUCCCUCGCUGCCAUCGCCCUCACCGCCCUCGUCCCUCUGGGGCCUCACCGCCCUCGUCCCUCGCCGCCAUCGCCCUCACUGUCCUCGUCCCUCCGGGGCCCGGCCGCCCUCAGCCCUCACCGCCAUCACCCUCGUCCCUCCAGACCCUCACCGCCCUCAUCCCUUGCCACCAUUGCCCUCACUGCCAUCAUCCUUCCGGGGCCUCGCCGCCAUCACCCUCACCGGCCUCGUCCCUCUGGGGCCUCGCCGCCAUUGCCCUCACCGCCCUCGUCCCUCACCGCCCUCGUCCCUCUGGGGCCUCGCCGCCCUUGUCCCUCGCCGCCAUUGCCCUCACCACCCUCGUCCCUCUGGGGCCUCGCUGCCCUCGUCCCUCGCCGCCAUUGCCCUCACCGCCCUCGUCCCUCGCCGCCAUCACCUUUGCUGCCCACGGCCUCAGGCAAAAGCAGCGCGUCUCUCUGCCAUGCGUGGCGCUUCUGGUGGGGGCCGGGGCGGCGUUUUGGGCCGCGUCCUCGGGCGGGCUGGGCACAGGCAGCGACAGCUGCAGGGCCUGCGCGGGAGGAGAGCCGGCGAAGCCAAGCAGGCGAAGGCCGCGCGCUGCUCGCCUGCCCGCAGCCGCCCCGCUGAAAGGCGCCCGGCCGAAAGGUGCUUGUCGCGGCCGUGCGGGGACGGCUCUCGGCGGCCGGCCACAGAGCGCGGGAGGCUGCUGGGGCGCUCGCCGCAGGCGCGGGGUCCUCCCGCCCUCACCUUGAGGAACCGGGUUUCGAGACAGGCUUCCUCUCGCCCGCCGCAAUUAGCAGCCCUGCGCGCUGGCCUCAAAGCGCCGUGGCACGCGGCGGUUAAUUAG
RNAcentral lists this long non-coding RNA (1242 nucleotides) under Apteryx haastii (Great spotted kiwi). RNAcentral's name for it is "lncRNA (ENSAHAG00000019381.1)". Lineage: Eukaryota; Metazoa; Chordata; Aves; Apterygiformes; Apterygidae. The record is from RNAcentral.